CUUAACGCAUUGACCAAGAGGGUGACGUCGAGGUGGUUCAGCGACGAGGCGGCUGGUGAAAGCCUCGCAUCGCGACGUCAUUGUAGCUUGUGAGCUGUCGACCCGAACUUUGAGUAAGGCCGACCGGGACCACCCGUUAGCAGGACUUGAGUGGGGGCUGUGGCCCCAAGUUAGGUGGUACCGCGAGCAUGCUCGUCCUAUGU
RNAcentral lists this non-coding RNA (203 nucleotides) under Lacticaseibacillus nasuensis. RNAcentral's name for it is "Lactobacillus nasuensis T-box sequence". It matches the Rfam family "T-box leader". Rfam says of the family: Uncharged tRNA acts as the effector for transcription antitermination of genes in the T-box leader family. Lineage: Bacteria; Bacillati; Bacillota; Bacilli; Lactobacillales; Lactobacillaceae. The record is from RNAcentral.